Molecule: transfer RNA, 63 nt
Filed under: Neaxius acanthus
Lineage: Eukaryota; Metazoa; Arthropoda; Malacostraca; Decapoda; Strahlaxiidae
Also listed under: 1 other name
Description: tRNA-Leu
Source: RNAcentral
AUCAAGGUGGCAGAUAGAUGUGUAAGAUUUAGGAUCUUAUUAGGAAAAAUUUUUCUCUUGGUA